CGUCCAGACUCCUACGGGAGGCAGCAGUGGGGGAUAUUGGACAAUGGGGGGAACCCUGAUCCAGCGACGCCGCGUGAGUGAAGAAGUAUUUCGGUAUGUAAAGCUCUGUCAGCAGGGAAGAAAGAAAUGACGGUACCUGACCAAGAAGCCCCGGCUAACUACGUGCCAGCAGCCGCGGUAAUACGUAGGGGGCAAGCGUUAUCCGGAAUUACUGGGUGUAAAGGGAGCGUAGACGGUGAUGCAAGUCUGGAGUGAAAGGCGGGGGCCCAACCCCCGGACUGCUCUGGAAACUGUGUAACUUGAGUGCAGGAGAGGUAAGCGGAAUUCCUAGUGUAGCGGUGAAAUGCGUAGAUAUUAGGAGGAACACCAGUGGCGAAGGCGGCUUACUGGACUGUAACUGACGUUGAGGCUCGAAAGCGUGGGGAGCAAACAGGAUUAGAUACCCCAGUAACG
Molecule: ribosomal RNA, 453 nt
Filed under: uncultured bacterium
Lineage: Bacteria
Description: bacterial SSU rRNA
Rfam family: Bacterial small subunit ribosomal RNA
Source: RNAcentral